This 23-nucleotide non-coding RNA is filed under the name Gossypium hirsutum (cotton). Lineage: Eukaryota; Viridiplantae; Streptophyta; Magnoliopsida; Malvales; Malvaceae. The record is from RNAcentral.
AUAUAUCUUGAUCGUGACCGCCC